Brassica rapa (field mustard) is the source of this 4905-nucleotide long non-coding RNA. RefSeq lists it as uncharacterized. The record is from RefSeq and is a predicted model, not a curated record. Lineage: Eukaryota; Viridiplantae; Streptophyta; Magnoliopsida; Brassicales; Brassicaceae.
UUUGACCCGCGCGUCCGCGCGGGUGUUUGCUUUAUUUUUUUUAUAAAUCAAAUAGAAUUGGUUAUAUAUUUUCAAAUGUAUUUAUAUGAUGUUGGUAUCCAUUCGGGUUCGAAUACCCAUUUGGGUUCGUUUCAGAUCUAUUCGGAUUUUAGAUUUUUUCAGUUUGAAGGAAUUCAACCCUAUUUAUGUAUUUAUAAAUUUUGAACCAAGUUCGGUUUGAUCUUUGUAGGUUCGAUUCGGUUUCCGAUAACGAAUUUAAAUGAUGUUUAAAAAUUUAAAAUCAUGUAUAAUUUAAUUUUCUCAAAAUCAAAAAAUAAAAAUUAAUAUAUAACACGAAAAAUAUCUAAAUUUAACAUAAAAAAUUAGUUUAAAAUAUUUAGAUGGGCAACCAAUAUAUACUUUAAGUAGUUUUGGUUAUUUAAGUAUUGUUUAGCUAUUUUAAAUAUUUACUUUUGACCGGUUUUGGUUCGGGUUUUGAUACUAUUUUUUUGGACCGGAUUUAGUUUGGUUCUUCGGAUUUGGGAAUCCAAGUUUUAUCCCAACAAUUUUGCAUAAUAAAAUUUUUGGAUAUUCAACAAUCAAAACGAUAUCAUAUAUAGUUCACCUUUUGUAUGAUAAUAUUUUUGGUUGUCUCCACAAACAUUUAACUAAUUUAUACCUAGUUUUUAUUUUGUAAUAACAAUUUAAAUAUAUUGUAUACAUUUUUAUUUAAUGUAAAUCUAUAACAAUAUAUAUCUUUUCAAUUUAUUUUAUAUGUAGUUUAAUUUGUUAUCAGUUGGUAAUACAUAUCAAUAAAAUUUCACAAAAUUUUCCAUACUAAAUUUAUUAUGAAAUAACAAAAUCAAAAAACACCCAUAACAUAUAAAAAGAAAUAUUGUAAGAAAUUAUUUAAUUAUAUUUUAAAUUUAAAAACUACAUAAAUUAUUUUUUUUAUUCUUAAGAAUCAGUAGAAAUUAAAAUUAUAAUUAUAUUAACAUCAUUUAGCAUAUUUCUAUUUAGAAUUCCAUAUAUCGACAUAUAUAUAUAUAUUAUUAUUAUUAUUAUUAUAAAAUUGAAUUAUAUAAGACCAAAUAUAAUUUUAAAUACAUAAUUGUAUUACAUAUAAUUAAUAUUGGACACAAUAUUUAGAAUUUUGACGCUUUCCAUGAUAACUUCGUAAGCUUCCGCCAUGGGUUCGAUUCUCCUUGGCCACUCAUAGACGUUUUAAGUGGCAAGAAAACCCAGAUUUCUAUGGGCCUUUUGGUGAUUAGUUCUUUGGCCUAGAAAGUCUUUGGGAUCACACCAAGGUUAUAAAAAAAAACUUCGUAUUUUCAUAAUUGAUAUUGUAUUAGUUAUGAUGCUAGCGUCGAAAUAGGUAAAUUUUCUGAAUGGUAUUGAUUUAGGAAGUUAUCUCUCUUUCUGAUUUAGUGCACCAAUAUAUUUUAAAGAUACUAACUAUAAUAUCUUUAAUUACGAUUAUUAUCUAUAACAUUUUAAUAUAUGAAUAUUAUGAUUUUUUGGGUUUGUAGGAAUUUGAUUAUGUUUGUCAAAUUAAUUUUGCCGGUUUACGUCUGUCUAUUUAAGUUCGCUGGUUUUAUAAUGUUAUAAACGAUGACUGUCAUACAUAAUAAUAAAAAGUUAGUACUAAAUACCAAAUGUAUUUCUAUUUUAAUAAUUUAGAUAAAAUAAUUUUAUUGAUAUGAUUUACUAUUUACGUAUAUAAUAGUUAGGUAGUUAUGAAUUUUGUGUGCCUAUAAUUAAGGCGAUUAAUCACGCACAUAUGCUGAAUUCCUAUUAUCUACAAUUAAAUUAAAUCUAUAGGAACAAAGAAUUUGGAAUGAUGGUGAAUCAUGCAGAAGAUACUAUAAAAAAUAGUGGUUAUCUAAAUUAUAGGAACUUGUUAGUAAUUAUUUCAUUUACGGAAAUCAAGCUUUAUUGUGAAUAGUAAAUUUUCGUUAGAUCAAUUGAUUAUCUUUAUACCAGCAAUAUAUUGUUUACAUAUACAUGAUUGUGAAUCACAAUUUGUGAUAUCUUGUUUAGCAUGUAUAUACUGUUUAUAUGAUGAUCUCCAUAUGCUUAAGAAAUCGUGAUGAAUAGUUUGGUUUGGUUUGUAAUUGGCAGUUCUAAUAGAAAAAACUACCGGUCGUACGUUUAGUGGAGUAUUGGAUUGGAAUAAUUAUGUGCUGGUUCACUACAAGAAAACAUAUCACAUUGUGACCACUUUUUUGACAAGGAAAAAUGAUCAAAAAUAAUUAUCACCUAAUUUUGACCAUUUUGUGAUGAAUACGAAAAAUGGUCAGAAAAUGAUUAGAAAAUUUUAACCAAAACAUAUGGUCAGAAAAUGGUCAGCAAAUAUAUCACAUUUUGACCAAGUUUCCGACCAGCAUAUAUGGUCACAAAUAAUUAUGUCCAUGUUCUGAUCACUUUGUGAUGAAUGAAAAAAAUGGUCAGAAAAUGGUAAAAAUGUUUUAACCAAAACAUAUAGUCAAAAAGUGGUCACAAAAUUUUGACCAUAUUCUUACCACUUUCUAACAAUUUCCUCAUUAACCUAGAUCUGAAAUUUUAUUUUCACAUUCUCAUCAGUUCAGUUUUCUUCUCAAGCGGCGCCACUGAGCUUCCUUUCUCUAUUUCUUUCUUUUUUUUUUUUUUUCUAAUUUCCUUCUUCUUCUCUGUCACUCCAUCAUUGUAACCUCUCUUUUUUCUUCAUUGCAGGUCAAGUUUAAGAAGCUUGUUACUUCUACUCACCCUUGCUUCAGUCAACAUUCCUCUGCUCCUUGCAAGGAAAGGAUUCGUUGAGACAAUGGAAAAAGACAAGACCAAGAAGAACAAGGAAUUAAGAAAUGGUGGAUCCAUGACGAGUGUCCUAUUUUGUUUUUAGUUAUUUUCAUUAUGUGUAUUCUUAUGUCGCUAAACAUCAAUUGUUUUAUUUAAAAUAACAAUUAUUUGAAAUUUAUUCAUAUUUCAUUAAAUUUUACUAUUUCCAUAAUGUCAUACAAUUAUUAUUUAUUUACAAUAUUCUGAACAAUUAUUAAAUAGUAGUCAAAAAUCAAUACAAAAAGUGGUCAUAAAUUUAUCAGAAAUUGCUAAUUAUUUUUGACCAUUUACUGACAAUUUUUUUUGACGAAAUUUCUAACCCUUACUAUGGUCAAAAAUUUAUGACUACUUUAUGACCAUAAUCAAUUUCUGACGGAGUAUUUUUGACAAAUUAAUGUGGUCAGAAAGUAGUCAAAACAGAGUGUUUCUGACCAUUUUAUAACGAAAUUGAUGGUCAAAAAUUGAACUAUUUCUUGUAGUGGUUGCUCAACUAUUAAAACUGGAGUAUUGGUUUCGAAUGAUGUAAGUACGUGCUGGUCUAAUUUUUUUAAUACGAUUGUAUAUGGAACGGGAUGGUUUAACGUUUUUUUGGUAUAGAAAAUAAAUGGGUUAAGGAAAGUGUAAAACUACUGUGUUUAAGGCCAGUGGCAUAUAAUUGUAAUUAUUAAGAAAAACUUAGGGUGAAGAUUUAUUUGUACUUCAGUUUUAAUAGUUUAGAUUUUAAAUUUAAAUCCAAAAAAAGUAAAAGUAGAACAUCAAAAUGAAAAUAGACUGAAGAUAACAAAAAUUAAAAUAAUACCAAAUCACAUCGAAUAAUUUUUAAUCUCUCUAUCAUCAUUCACUUAAGUUUAUUCAGAUGGUAUAUUAAAAAAUUUAACAAAAUUAAUAAGUCACAAAUAAAUUACGAAAUUCAAUCAAAAUUCUAAAAAUAACCAUCAUUUUUUUUUGGUUUGUCAUUUCAUCAUUUUGGGAUUUUUUCAGCAAGGACAUUUUCUAAUUCAUUAGAAUCAAUAAUAAAUACUGAAAACCAAAUUUCUUAUUUUAAAUACAAAACAGAUUUUAAUGCCGUAAUUAAAAAAAUCUAAGAAAAAGGUAAAAGUUACUUAUUGGUUCAACCAAUAGUUCAAUCAGAAAUUGGGUUCCACGUUUUAACGGGUUUUUGUUAUCGGACUCUUAAAUAAUAUAUAUUUUUUUAAACCCCAAACCAGAUUAUAUAUCGCAACACCGGGUUUGUUUGAUAGCGGGUCCAUGUUGGGUUUCAAAACACUGCGCAAAGGUGGAAUACUCAUUUCUUCCGUUUUUGAAACACUAUCUCAUUAGGUGGUAUUUUCAUCUAGAUGAAUUUUAGAUAAUCAAAAAUACAUUUUGAUAAACACUAUAGAUGAAAUCCCAAUUUUCAAUAAGGAAAUUUUUUAUGAGAAUUAUUUGUAUCAAUUAUUAAUCCAGUAAGUUUUGGAUUUGUAGGAUUUGCUUUUUUUUUUUAAACUGAUUUUUUCAAAUACAUAGUCCAAUAAGCCCUCUAAGAUAUUUUGGUUAAAAUCAUAAGAAUUAAGAAAUCUAUUUUUAUGUGAUGACAUCAUUAAUUAAUAAUAGAAAUUUAAAGUGAACUUCAAUCAUAAAUAAUGCAGUGACAUUUUAUUGGUUAACGAAUUUUUAAUAAAGUUUAAUUUUUUUAUAAAAAUAGCAAAAUAUCUUAGAUUUUGAAAUAUCAAUUUUUCUCUAAAAAAUCUUAAAUUAUAAACAGAUGAAGGGACAAUGGGCAUUUAAUUCCCGAAGUAUUUGAAAUCGGCAGUUUUAAUACUCAUCGGCAGUUUUAAUACUUAAGUAUGGCUUGCACAUAUUUAUUCUCCAACUAACAGUUGACUGCGCAAAAGUAAGAACAAAAUAGUCAACUGUUAACUAAUGAACGGAAAAAUAACGGUUUCCGCCAACUUUUUAACGGUAGAAUAUUCUAAUCAUGAUUUUGCGCAGUCAAUGAUUAGUUGGGGAAUAAAUAUGCGCAUUUAAUACUUGAGUAUUUAAUUUGCCGAUUGAAAAUACUUGAGGAAUUAAAAACUCAUUUUUUGCUUUAUAUUUCUUAUAAGAAUGAAAGUCACUAACAUCAAUCCCUUU